AUACGGAGGAUGCGAGCGUUAUCCGGAUUUAUUGGGUUUAAAGGGAGCGUAGGCGGGAGCUUAAGUCAGCGGUUAAAUGGUGCGGCUCAACCGUGCCCUGCCGUUGAAACUGGGUUUCUUGAGAGUGCAAGAGGCGGAUGGAAUUCAUGGUGUAGCGGUGAAAUGCUUAGAUAUCAUGAAGAACUCCGAUUGCGAAGGCAGUCCGCUGGGGCACGUCUGACGCUGAUGCUCGAAGGUGCGGGAAUCAAACAGGAUUAGAUACCCUGGUAGUCCGCACGGUAAACGAUGAUUACCCGCUGUCGGCGGUAGACAGUCGGCGGCCAAGCGAAAGCGAUAAGUAAUCCACCUGGGGAGUACGCCGGCAACGGUGAAACUUAAAGGAAUUGGCGGGG
Molecule: ribosomal RNA, 392 nt
Filed under: uncultured bacterium
Lineage: Bacteria
Description: partial 16S ribosomal RNA
Rfam family: Bacterial small subunit ribosomal RNA
Source: RNAcentral